GACGAACCGUGCGAACGUUGUUCGGAUUCACUGGGCAUAAAGGGCGCGUAGGCGGCUUUUCAAGUCAGGGGUGAAAUCCGGCAGCUCAACUGUCGAAGUGCCCUUGAUACUGAUGAGCUCGAGGGAGGUAGGGGUAUGUGGAACUUCCGGUGGAGCGGUGAAAUGCGUUGAUAUCGGAAGGAACGCCGGUGGCGAAAGCGACGUACUGGACCUCUUCUGACGCUGAGGCGCGAAAGCUAGGGGAGCAAACGGG
RNAcentral lists this ribosomal RNA (253 nucleotides) under uncultured bacterium. RNAcentral's name for it is "partial 16S ribosomal RNA". It matches the Rfam family "Bacterial small subunit ribosomal RNA", at positions 524 to 776 of the family's 1533-position model. The record is from RNAcentral.